Molecule: long non-coding RNA, 412 nt
Filed under: Phoenix dactylifera (date palm)
Lineage: Eukaryota; Viridiplantae; Streptophyta; Magnoliopsida; Arecales; Arecaceae
Description: long non-coding RNA (PDAC_LNC000899)
Source: RNAcentral
UGGCGGAUAGUGGAAUGUGGGGAAGGGAUUUAAUGUGAUGUGGAUUGGAUUCCUAGUAGCUCCAAGGCAAUAAAUUAGAUACAAAUGCAAAUAUAUUGCUUGAAUUUGGAAUGUCGGAAAUCCCUUUAAUGUCCGGGCUCUAUAUGUUUGGAUUGGCAAGUUUGACUGAUUUCAUUCACGUCUAACUAGAUUGAGUCUGAUUUUGCAAAAUUCUAAUGGGGCCUAGCUAGAAAAGGGAUGCUUCAUAUUAAACCCAAUGUUAAACAAGAGAAUUUAUUGAUGUAAUAAUGUUUUUUUUCUUUCUUGUUUUUGCAUGCGUUUAUGCAUGCACAUGCAUAUUUAUCUCUAUGUUUCCAUAAAGAAAAGGAGGGAUUUUUCGUGCCUUGUUUACGUAUACAAAAUAGGAUGAUAU